UGAGAGGCCUGCAUGGGGUCUUAUUUGACCAGGCAUGCAACUUUUUUCUUUAUUUUAGGCAUGCAACUAGGAAGAAGGUCACUUAAGAGAUUGUUCAAAUGAAUAACCUUGACCUACUUUCAAUGGCAUUAAAUUUAAAUGUGUUAAUAUUUAAAAAAUAUUUCAUUGACUGAAAGGCUUUGAGUAACAAAUCAUUGGGUAAGUACUGUAGCAUGCUUAGAAGAAGGGCUAUCAAGUUUGUUGAAAUAAUUAAGUGACCUUGGCUUACAUAUAUUUAAGGUCAUAGGGGUCAGAUGUGUUGAAAUCUCCAAAUUUUCCAAGGUUAUGUAACAAUUACAAGAAAAAAAAUUAUAUAAUGGUUUUGUGUUACUUACGAAGGAUGUAGGAAAGGCGUUGGUUUUCCGACGCUGGUGGCGAUCGCGGCGUCAACAGCGUUAAGGUUUUUUGUCUACACUAACAAUAAUUCAUAGAUUUCUGCAUUUUAAGGUCACAUGAGACAAAGUCCCAGUUAACCUAUUGUGAUCGCCUUUUGUCAGGCGUCAUACAUUUUCAACUUCUUCUUCUCCAAAACUGCUGAAUGUAUUUCAAUGAAACUUUGCAGGAAGCUCAAAAGUCCAAAGGUCAACCAAAAUUGUGAAUAAUUUGGUCCCCACACCGUGGGCCUGAGGUGCUGGGUCAUAAAUGGUGAAAUUGGUCAAAAAUCUUCUUUUCCACUCCCAGAUAGGGUGGAAUCAAAUACUCUUCAUAGAUAGAAAAGAUUUAAGGUACUUUACCAAAAUUAUGAAUUUCAUGAUUCUGGGGUCUCACGUUUGCCCCUGGGGAGGGGGUUUACUUUACUAUAGUUUAUAUAACGAAUUCACAUUUUAGGCUGUCAUUUGUUUGAUUUAUAUUGGAAUUCAUUCUAACUUGGUUAACAUUAUCAACAUGGGAUGUCAGCUUCAUGGUAUGCAAAUGUUGGCUUUGACUGACCACCAGGGGCUUACGGGUGGGGCUAAAAAGGGUCAAAUUAACUGAAAUAUUUCAAAACUCAGGUGACUGAUCAGGCCAUAGGCCUCUUGUGGGGUUAAAAAUCUCAUAUUUCUGGACUUUAGAAAAAAAUCAACGUUAAGGUUAAAUUGCUUUUAGCUCUAGCAUAUUGGGCUGUUUUUGACAAACUAUAUAAGCUAGGGCAACCAAACUUGGGUUAUAAAUGUAUCAUACAAUGACAGGGGUUACAAGGAUGUGGAGGAAACGUGCAAUUCAGUUCUAUAUAUAGAUUAGUAGGGUGUAGUAGAUAAAAAAUGGUGCAUUUUGUUGAUAUUAUUAUAUUAAUGCUAUAGGCAUGAUGUUUUUUACACUUUGUUGUUGUUGUGUUUUAUAUAUACUGAUCUCAUUUGUGUAUACUAGUCUGUGGCGUCAGUUUCAUGUCCUGUACAACAUGUUUUGUUCCUGUGUAAACAACUAAUAUUUUUGAAAAUCUAUCGGUGAUGAUUCAGAAUUGCAAAAAUUUUAUGCACAUUAGUUUAACGAGUAGUAUACAGAUCUAGAGAUGUGUAACGAGUGGUAUACAGAUAUAGAGAUGUGUAACGAGUGGUAUACAGAUCUAUAGAUAUGUAACGAGUGGUAUACAGAUCUAGAGAUGUGUAACGAGUGGUAUACAGAUAUAGAGAUGUAUAACGAGUGGUAUACAGAUCUAGAGAUGUGUAACCAGUGGUAUACAGAUCUAGAGAGAUGUGUAACCAGUGGUAUACAGAUCUAGAGAUGUGUAACGAGUGGUAUACAGAUCUAGAGAUAUGUGUAACGAGUGGUAUACAGAUCUAGAGAUGUGUAACGAGUGGUAUACAGAUCUAGAGAGAUGUGUAACGAGUGGUAUACAGAUCUAGAGAGAUGUAUAACGAGUGGUAUACAGAUCUAGAGAUGUGUUACGAGUGGUAUACAGAUCUAGAGAUGUGUAACAAGUGGUAUACAGAUCUAGAGAUAUGUAACGAGUGGUAUACAGAUCUAGAGAUGUGUAACGAGUGGUAUACAGAUGUAGAGAUGUGUAACGAGUGGUAUACAGAUCUAGAUGUGUAACAAGUGGUAUACAGAUCUAGAGAUGUGUAACGAGUGGUAUACAGAUCUAGAGAGAUGUGUAACGAGUGGUAUACAGAUAUAGAGAUGUGUAACGAGUGAUAUACAGAUCUAGAGAGAUGUGUAACGAGUGGUAUACAGAUCUAGAUGUGUAACAAGUGGUAUACAGAUCUAGAGAGAUGUGUAAUGAGUGGUAUACAGAUCUAGAGAGAUGUGUAACGAGUGGUAUACAGAUCUAUAGAGAUGUAUAACGAGUGGUAUACAGAUCUAGAGAUGUGUAACGAGUGGUAUACAGAUCUAGAGAUGUGUAACGAGUGGUAUACAGAUCUAGAGAGAUGUGUAACGAGUGGUAUACAGAUCUAGAUGUGUAACAAGUGGUAUACAGAUCUAGAGAGAUGUGUAAUGAGUGGUAUACAGAUCUAGAGAUGUGUAACGAGUGGUAUACAGAUCUAGAGAUGUGUAACGAGUGGUAUACAGAUAUAGAGAUGUGUAACGAGUGGUAUACAGAUCUAGAGAGAUGUGUAACGAGUGGUAUACAGAUCUAGAGAUGUGUAACGAGUGGUAUACAGAUCUAGAGAUGUGUAACGAGUGGUAUACAGAUAUAGAGAUGUGUAACGAGUGGUAUACAGAUCUAGAGAGAUGUGUAACGAGUGGUAUACAGAUCUAGAUGUGUAACAAGUGGUAUACAGAUCUAGAGAGAUGUGUAAUGAGUGGUAUACAGAUCUAGAGAGAUGUGUAACGAGUGGUAUACAGAUCUAUAGAGAUGUAUAACGAGUGGUAUACAGAUCUAGAGAUGUGUAACGAGUGGUAUACAGAUCUAGAUGUGUAACAAGUGGUAUACAGAUCUAGAGAUGUGUAACGAGUGGUAUACAGAUCUAGAGAGAUGUGUAACGAGUGGUAUACAGAUAUAGAGAGAUGUGUAACGAGUGGUAUACAGAUCUAUAGAAGUGUAACCAGUGGUAUACAGAUCUAGAGAUGUGUAAUGAGUGGUAUACAGAUCUAGAGAUGUGUAACGAGUGGUAUACAGAUAUAGAGAGAUGUGUAACCAGUAGUAUACAGAUAUAGAGAUGUGUAACGAGUGAUAUACAGAUAUAGAGAUGUGUAACAAGUGGUAUACAGAUCUAGAGAUGUGUAACGAGUGGUAUACAGAUCUAGAGAUGUGUAACGAGUGGUAUACAGAUCUAGAGAUGUGUAACGAGUGGUAUACAGAUCUAUAGAGAUGUGUAACGAGUGGUAUACAGAUCUAGAGAAGUGUAACCAGUGGUAUACAGAUAUAGAGAUGUAUAAUGAUGGGUAUACAGAUCUAGAGAUGUGUAAUGAGUGGUAUACAGAUCUAGAGAUGUGUAAUGAGUGGUAUACAGAUAUAGAGAUGUGUAAUGAGUGGUAUACAGAUCUAGAGAUGUGUAAUGAGUGGUAUACAGAUCUAGAGAAGUGUAACCAGUGGUAUACAGAUAUAGAGAUGUGUAAUGAGUGGUAUACAGAUCUAGAGAUGUGUAAUGAGUGGUAUACAGAUAUAGAGAUGUGUAAUGAGUGGUAUACAGAUCUAGAGAUGUGUAACGAGUGGUAUACAGAUCUAGAGAUGUGUAACGAGUGGUAUACAGAUCUAGAGAUGUAUAACGAGUGGUAUACAGAUCUAGAGAUGUGUAACGAGUGGUAUACAGAUCUAGAGAGAUGUGUAACCAGUGGUAUACAGAUAUAGAGAUGUAUAAUGAUGGGUAUACAGAUCUAGAGAUGUGUAACGAGUGGUAUACAGAUCUAGAGAGAUGUGUAACGAGUGGUAUACAGAUCUAGAGAAGUGUAACCAGUGGUAUACAGAUAUAGAGAUGUAUAAUGAUGGGUAUACAGAUCUAGAGAUGUGUCAUUGCUGGACUGUGUUAGUUAUUCUCUAUAAAGGGAGAUAAUUUAAAUCUUGUUAGACUUCGUUAAUUCAUGUUUUUAUAGUAAGAUUCCUUUAUGACGUAAAUAUUAUUUCAAAAAGAGCAGUUAAUUCUUGAUUUUGUUCUCAAAAAUUAUAAAUGCUGGUAUGAAGUCUAGUAAGAGGAGCAUGAUGGAUUAAAAUGAAUUAAAGAUGCGAAAAAUGCAUUCAAAUAUUGAUGAAUUAGACUUAUUAAAAUAAACUCUAGUCGAGUUGAAAUAAAGAGUUUUAAUCAGAGACUUAUGAUGACUGUUAAUUGACAUCCAAUUGUAAAUGGAAGUUUGACCAAAGUAACCAAUUCCUGUGAAACUUUAUUUCGAUCAUGAUCAGAACCUGAACCUCUAGUCAUGUUCUUAUAAAUUAUCAAAUUUUAAUUUUAUGAUUCCUCUUGGAGUUAUUGCCCUUGAAAUAUUUCCUUACAUUAAUGUUCAUGCAGGGAAUACAAUUAUAUAACAUUAGCGUUUGGUUUACAGUGGUAAUAUUUAAACAGAAAAUGGUUGGAUUAUUUUAGACCGAUAAAGUAGAAAUGAUUUUAGAGUCUAAGUAUACUGUCACCAUUAAGGUAAUUCCUUGUGCUUCUCUCUGUGUAUCAAACUCUUUUUAUUAUUUUUGUUUUGCCUGACAGCACCACAGCCUUGUUAACAUGUUAGGAUAAUAGAAUCUUACUAUCAAUCUGUAGGCUGAGGUUAUCUCAACCCAAGUGUUCAUGAGUUUAGCUUGUCAACGUACCAAGCUUGUAGGUACUGACCAACUCCUACAGGUCCAGGGUUGAGAUAUCCCUGUCCACAGAAAAAGACCCAUGUUUGAUUAUUUUCUCCCAUUCUUGAAAAUAAACAAUUUCCUGUUGGAUAUAAACGUUAAUUUAUCUUUCACAUUUACAUUGUCAGUUUAUAGGUGUGGGCCAAUACUUCAAAUUCUGAGUUUGAUUUUUUCCAAGAUCAUUGAAGUAUUGAAGUAUUUAGGAAUGUUUUAUUAACGAUGAGAUUCUGAGAUGAUGCGAUGUUUUUGAGAUUUUCACCAUUUUCUGUGUAAGUCAGAACAUGUAAUGUUAAUGACCUUGAAGGUGUUGUCAGGCCAGCAUUAUUUAUUUUGUUAAUAUUUAAAUCUUUGUCUUUUGCUGAAUAAAAUACACUACUGCAAACCC
Long non-coding RNA from Pecten maximus, 5108 nucleotides. RefSeq lists it as uncharacterized. The transcript has 3 exons. The record is from RefSeq and is a predicted model, not a curated record. Lineage: Eukaryota; Metazoa; Mollusca; Bivalvia; Pectinida; Pectinidae.